RNAcentral lists this ribosomal RNA (477 nucleotides) under uncultured organism. RNAcentral describes it as "partial 16S ribosomal RNA". It matches the Rfam family "Bacterial small subunit ribosomal RNA", at positions 329 to 797 of the family's 1533-position model. The record is from RNAcentral.
ACGUACACUCCUGCGGGAGGCAGCAGUGGGGAAUUUUGGACAAUGGGCGAAAGCCUGAUCCAGCCAUGCCGCGUGCAGGAUGAAGGCCUUCGGGUUGUAAACUGCUUUUGUACGGAACGAAACGGCCUUUUCUAAUAAAGAGGGCUAAUGACGGUACCGUAAGAAUAAGCACCGGCUAACUACGUGCCAGCAGCCGCGGUAAUACGUAGGGUGCAAGCGUUAAUCGGAAUUACUGGGCGUAAAGCGUGCGCAGGCGGUUAUGUAAGACAGUUGUGAAAUCCCCGGGCUCAACCUGGGAACUGCAUCUGUGACUGCAUAGCUAGAGUACGGUAGAGGGGGAUGGAAUUCCGCGUGUAGCAGUGAAAUGCGUAGAUAUGCGGAGGAACACCGAUGGCGAAGGCAAUCCCCUGGACCUGUACUGACGCUCAUGCACGAAAGCGUGGGGAGCAAACAGGAUUAGAUACCCGUGUAGUCCCA